GACAGAGGGUGCAAACGUUGUUCGGAAUUACUGGGCGUAAGCGUGUGUAGGCGGCUACAUCAGUCGGAUGUGAAAGCCCCGGGCUCAACCCGGGAAGUGCACUCGAUACUGCGUAGCUUGAGUCUCGGAGAGGUUGGUGGAAUUCUCGGUGUAGAGGUGAAAUUCGUAGAUAUCGAGAGGAACACCGGUGGCGAAGGCGGCCAACUGGACGAAGACUGACGCUGAGACACGAAAGCGUGGGGAGCAAACAGG
Molecule: ribosomal RNA, 252 nt
Filed under: uncultured bacterium
Lineage: Bacteria
Description: partial 16S ribosomal RNA
Rfam family: Bacterial small subunit ribosomal RNA
Source: RNAcentral